RNAcentral lists this long non-coding RNA (276 nucleotides) under Medicago truncatula (barrel medic). RNAcentral's name for it is "lncRNA gene43512". The record is from RNAcentral. Lineage: Eukaryota; Viridiplantae; Streptophyta; Magnoliopsida; Fabales; Fabaceae.
GGGAAGGAAAAUGGGUUCUAUGAAAAGGGAAGAUAGGUUCAAUGAAGAAUAAUGGAAGAAGGCUUCAUAAGGGUCGAUUGAAGAAUGAGAAAAGGGUUUAAAUUUGACAUACAUAUUGAGAUGGUAUUGAUCAAAAACGUUUUUGAGUGAUACCCAUUUGAGAAUACAUGGUUAUGAACGCGUUUACCUUCUCUAACAGCUUUAUGUGCCAAACAACACUUGAUGAUGAUGGGUUCCUGAUGAGUAUAUGGUUCAAUUGAGAAAAGGGUUAGUGAG